Molecule: RNase P RNA, 586 nt
Filed under: Betaproteobacteria bacterium
Lineage: Bacteria; Pseudomonadati; Pseudomonadota; Betaproteobacteria
Description: RNase P RNA component class A
Rfam family: Bacterial RNase P class A
About the family: Ribonuclease P (RNase P) is a ubiquitous endoribonuclease, found in archaea, bacteria and eukarya as well as chloroplasts and mitochondria. Its best characterised activity is the generation of mature 5'-ends of tRNAs by cleaving the 5'-leader elements of precursor-tRNAs.
Source: RNAcentral
GAAGCCGGCCGGGCGAUCACCGUGUCCAGAAUGGGGACAGGGAGGAAAGUCCGGGCUCCAGAGAGCAGGGUGCUGGGUAACGCCCAGACGCAGGAGCCGGGGGGCAACUCCCGGCAAAGGCGAUGAACAGGGCAACAGAAAGUACACCGCCGAUGGCCGUCCGGGCCUUGCGGCGCGCGCGUAAGCGCGACGCCGCAAAGUCUCGUUACUUGAAGAGCAGGUGCGCUGAAAGGCGCAUGAAGGUGCGUCGAAGGACACAUCAGCUUGCAUGUCUUCGGACAUGCAACUGCCGAUCAAGGGCGUAAAAGGACGGGCGCGCAAGCGCCCAAUCCGACGCUUAGGCGUCGGAUUGGCACAGGCAAGGGUGAAAUGGUGCGGUAAGAGCGCACCGCAGACGUGGGAACACGGCUGGCACGGUAACCUCCACCCGGAGCAACACCAAAUAGGCGGACGAUGACGCUGCUCGCCGAGUCCGCGGGUAGGUGGCUUGAGCCUGCGGGCAACCGCAGGCCUAGAGGAAUGAUCGCUGCGCGGCAGGCCGCAAGGCUUGCCUCGACAGAACCCGGCUUACAGGCCGGCUUCACGU